This 1250-nucleotide long non-coding RNA is filed under the name Oryctolagus cuniculus (rabbit). Its description in RNAcentral is "lncRNA (ENSOCUG00000039294.1)". Lineage: Eukaryota; Metazoa; Chordata; Mammalia; Lagomorpha; Leporidae. The record is from RNAcentral.
UAGAAUUCAAAGCAUAAAAUAAAUAUGUGUGAGUUCACACUGGUAUACAUCAAUAAUUGAAUGAAUAAAUGAAUGGACCUCUGAAGAGGGGAACAAGUAAAUGGAAUAAUCAAUCUCUCUUGUGGAAGAAUUCAAAUAAUCAUGCAAAUGUUUUCCUUUCAUGUAAGUGAAGUCAAUUACCUAUCCCUGGAGUAUAGGUGAGUCUUAGUAACUUGCGUCCAAAGAGUACAAUAUGGAAAGGGAGAACAAAUGCAACUUGAUAGUACAGAAUUGUGAUAAACUCUACCACAGUUAGCCACUUAAGAUGAGUAUUAACAGAAAAAGUCUUGUCGAUGUUGCGCACCAUGGACAUGAAGUGGUGAGUGACCCUUUACCUCUGUGAUCUUCCUUCCCAAAACCCAUAUCCCCAGUCUAAUAAAUACAUAAAGAAUAUUCCAGGUAAGGGGCAUUUCAUAAGUAUCUGACCAUAAUUUCCAAAACUGCCAGUCAUAAAAAAAUGACAGAAGUCUGAGAAAUCAGCACUGAGCGGAGCAAGCUGAGCAGAUAUAGAACAAAGCAACAGAAUGUCCUGCUCAUAAAACAGGAUUCUAUAGCAAUGCCAAUGCAGCCAGAAUUAUGGAUUAAUAUCAAUUCAAUUGGUCCCAUUUACCACAAUGUAUCAUAAGUUGUGCAAAUACACCACUAUUGCAGAAGUUGUUAACAAUAAGAUGAAUUGACUGUCGGGUAGAAAGGAACUCUAUGUUGUCUUUGUAACUUCCAAGUUAAUAUAAAAUAUUAUACUAUAUAUAUAUUAUAUAUAUAGUUAACAUGUGGACUUCGUUUAUGUUUGUCUUUCUAGCUCUGUCACCUAACUGGUUGGAUUUCUUGGGGAAUAUAUUCAAGUUGGAAAUGAAUAGCAGUUUGGACUUUUAAAGGAUGCCAGCCUUCUUAGAGAAUAGAGAAGAAAAAAAGACACACAGACUCACUUGUUUAUGUCAAGUAAGAAAGGAGAAACACUACAGAGCUUUGAAGAAUUAUAUCAACUCUGAAGUUCUGGCAAAAAGAAAUCAGAAAUUUCUCUAUGACACUGCACAGUAAGGACUUUUGUGCUUCCUAUUCAAAGGAAUGUUUGGAGACAUUAACCUUGAUCUACUAUUUGGCUGCUACACACAAAAUUCUCUCAUAUUGGUAGAGGGAAGAAAGUUUAGAUAGAAAAUGAAUUGUGAAUACAUACUUAUUAAUAAUUAAUAAAAUUAUGCAUAUAGAUAACA